CCUACGGGCGGCAGCAGUGAGGAAUAUUGGUCAAUGGGCGCGAGCCUGAACCAGCCAAGUAGCGUGAAGGAUGACUGCCCUACGGGUUGUAAACUUCUUUUAUAAAGGAAUAAAGUGCGGCACGUGUGCCUUUUUGUAUGUACUUUAUGAAUAAGGAUCGGCUAACUCCGUGCCAGCAGCCGCGGUAAUACGGAGGUUCCGAGCGUUAUCCGGAUUUAUUGGGUUUAAAGGGAGCGUAGAUGGGUUGUUAAGUCAGUUGUGAAAGUUUGCGGCUCAACCGUAAAAUUGCAAUUGAUACUGGCAGGCUUGAGUACAGUUGAGGUAGGCGGAAUUCGUGGUGUAGCGGUGAAAUGCUUAGAUAUCACGAAGAACUCCGAUUGCGAAGGCAGCUUACUAAACUGCAACUGACAUUGCUGCUCGAAAGUGUGGGUAUCAAACAGGAUUAGAUACCCGGGUAGUC
This 460-nucleotide ribosomal RNA is filed under the name uncultured bacterium. Its description in RNAcentral is "partial 16S ribosomal RNA". It matches the Rfam family "Bacterial small subunit ribosomal RNA", at positions 338 to 795 of the family's 1533-position model. The record is from RNAcentral.